This 497-nucleotide ribosomal RNA is filed under the name uncultured bacterium. RNAcentral describes it as "partial 16S ribosomal RNA". It matches the Rfam family "Bacterial small subunit ribosomal RNA", at positions 28 to 507 of the family's 1533-position model. The record is from RNAcentral.
GAUGAACGCUGGCGGCGUGCCUAAUACAUGCAAGUCGAGCGAACAGACGCGGAGCUUGCUCUUCUGACGUUAGCGGCGGACGGGUGAGUAACACGUGGAUAACCCAGCUAUAAGACUUGGAUAACUUCGGGAAACCCGAGCUAAUACCGGAUAAUAUAUUGAACCGCAUGGUUCAAUAGUGUAAUACGGUUUUGCUGUCAUUUCUACAUAGAACCGCGCCGCUUUAGUUAGUUGGUACGGUAACGGCUUCCCAAAGCAGCGAUGGGUAGCCGAACUGGGAGGGUGAUGCGCCACUCUGAGAGUGUAACGCGGUCCAGGCUCCGACGGGAGGCAGCGGUAGGGAAGCGUCGGAGAUGGGCGGAAGCCUGACGGAUCGGCGCCGCGUGGAUGAUGAGAGUCUUCGUGUCGUAAGACGCUGUUAUGAGUGAAGAACAAAUGUGUAAGUGACUAUGCACGUCGUGACGGUACCUAGACAAAAAGCCACGGCUAACUACGUG